This 7807-nucleotide long non-coding RNA is filed under the name Homo sapiens (human). RNAcentral describes it as "HSALNT0329540". The record is from RNAcentral. Lineage: Eukaryota; Metazoa; Chordata; Mammalia; Primates; Hominidae.
CAGACACCUAAUCUUGUUUCAGGGUUUGCUUGACCUCAGGCAUUUAUCUCCUGGUUGUCAUGGAAUCUGCUCAGAUAAACAGCAGCACACCAACCUGGCCCCUCUGCCAGCCUCAGAUCCUUCUAAGGCAGUGGAGCUCCCUGGUGGCCACCAGCCACCCGGGCUCCAGGCAGCCCAACACACACUCCCAUGCUGAGGUCUCUCGCAUGACCUCUCUAGGCACACAGUAGGUGCUCAGUAAAUGCUGUGGCAUGAAGGACCCUCCUGGAGUGUCUGAGUUCUCAGGCUUCAAGGCCCCUAGAUAAGCAGAUUUCUCUCCCCUAUCACCAUAGUCACCCCAGGGACUGCAGGGCAGGCCGAAAUCAGCCAGUGACUCAGCUCCUUGGGCAAUUCAGCUGGCCCACAGACCACUUCCUCUGCUCCCCAGCGCCGGAUGGAUGCAGAUCUGUGAGUAAGGAGCCAGCUGCAGGCAAGCAGCUCGAGGGCAGGUGGGCAUGAUGUCUGGCUACCACUCGCACUGGACGCCACACACACAGCCAGGGUGGCAGAAGGCCCCACCUGCCAUGUGCCAGUGGGACACCACCCUCAUGGUCUGCGUUUCCAGGUUUCCAACUAAGGACUGAGCACACUCUCAACAUGGACCUCCUAACUGCUCUCGAGGAUGGACAGCUGGCCUCAAGGGAACACUGCAAAGUGGCUCUAGGAAGAAGCCACUGUCCCUCCAGACCAUAAAAAUGGCUACCAAGGGCAGAGCCAGCAGCUUUCGCUGUAAAGUUUCUCAAGAAAAUCACAGAUAUUCCCCUCUGUGAUGUUCAGCUCAGCCUGGAAAGGAGAGGUAGAAACUGAGAGUUGAAGAGGCUGAAUAAUUUCUCAAGCACACUCCCAACUCGACCACCCACAAGCAAAAAGGCAGAGCUGGGAUUCAAACACAGGUAUGACUGUGUGUGGACAUCUCCCCUGUGCUAUGCUCCCUGAAGGAAAAUUCUAAGUGGUGUUGUUUCUGGGAGAAAUCUACCUGUGUGGUCUUUAAACCUACUCUGACAGGAGCAAGGGCCACCACUCUGUAUCUAAGACCACUGGGAACAGUCUUCAGGCAACAAGGUGACCAGGGCAGCUGCAGAGGGUAUCUAUGCCCCUGCCCCCUAGCGCAAAAGUCUGUUUCUCUUUCCAAAUGGCCCGCUGGGAGCAACUAUUUAGGGAGACCAUACCUCCUCCCACACUCAGUUCCCAGGCCUGAGCCACAGAGUCCUGCCACAGGAGGGAGGACCUGCCUGUCCUGCUCCCUCCCCACUCCAGGUUCCUGGAGGCCUCUGUGAUGAUUCCCCAGGAAGGACUACAGGAUCUGGCAGGCAGCAGGUGGCGGUGGGAGGAGGAGAGUCCUGGGAGCACAGCACUCCUAACCCCCUCUGCCUCUCACAGAACAAAGAGGGAGUCAUGCCAUGUCCCCUGCUCCCACAAAUGCCCCACCCAGAGGGGCUAAUGCCUAGGAUUGAGGGUCUUGUGUGCUGAGGAAGUCCUGUCCCCCAAUCCCCUACAAAAGCCAGAACCAGCUACUAAGGGGUUAGACACAGACAGAACUGUCUAUAUUAACAUUUCCUCCUAAAAAACAACAGGAAUCCUGGGGAAAGACCACUGGCCUGGGACUCCAUGAGCCCUGGCUUCUAUCUCUGGCUUUAUCAGGUGACCAUAGGCAAGUCACCUAGCCUCCAUGGUCUAGGCUCUCCUGCCUGUUGGGUGGGAAUCAUUACAUAUCACAAUCAUUACAGCUGACCUUCAGGGAGGCUGUACUCUGGGUCAGGAAUUGUGUUGGGUGCAUUAUCAUAUUUAUUCUCACAGCACCCUUUGCAGUAGCUACUAUUUUCAUACCCAUUCUCAGAUGAGGAAACUGUGGAACAGGCUGGUUAGGGGACAUGCCCAAAGUGACAAACUUAGCAAAGGUGGACCUGGCACUCAGUACCACAUCUGUUUUUCCAUGCUCUUAACCACUGUAACAUACAGAGCCCUUUUACAGAGAUCAAGGACAGAGGUAAAAGUGUUUUGAAAGCAAAAAAAAAAAAGUGGGGAGGAUGCAUAAAAUAAACAUAAAUCACCCCCUGCCCCGCCCAGACAUAAUUCAGGGAAGAGUCCUAACCCCCAAGAACCUUCUGUGGAACUUAUUCGCAACAUCAGAGACCUCCAACAUAGAAAUGACCCUCAAUAAGUCAUUCCUCUUUCCCUUCAGGCAGGAAUAAUAUAACUAACUGAAUUAUACAGGUGAGACCACGAAGGUCAAGCAAGGGUGACCAGCUUAGGCCCCUGGCUGGCAGGUAAGGAGGAGACUGACCCCAGCCUCCUGGCUCCUAGGGGAGGAAACAGUGAUGACAAAGGCCCCUUUGCAUGGCCAAGGUGGAGCCCUUUCUACCAAAGUUUAAACGUUUUAGUAUAAUAUCCAAGUGCAUCUUUUCCAACCUUAAAAACAUAUUUAAUUUCCUUAUAAAGCUGGUUGGCACUCUCCUCCUCCUCCAAAGCUCUGUAUUAGGCAGGGUUCAUAGUUGUAGACAACAGAAUGAACAGUGGUUAGUUCAGCCAGAAAAGGGAUGAUAUAGGAGGAUACUGGGUUGAUCAAAGGCUCUCUGGGAGGGCUGCAGAUUUAGAGCCAGUCAGCCAGGAACGAUGCCUGAAACAUACCUUAGAGCUGGAGAAAGAACAAAACCCUACCUUUCUUCAAUAGCUGGCAAGGUGGCAAGGUCUGGCCCCAUGCAGCCUGGGCUCUUCCCACUCUCCUCUCUCCCUAAUGCGUUGCCCUACUCGCUGCUUCCCAGGCAAUCCCACCUCAGGUCUAUGAACUUGCCAUUCCCUCUGCCUGCAACCUAGACAUUCACAUUGCUAGCUCCCUGGCUAGCUCAAAUGCCAGGUUUCUGCACAAAUGCUCCUCCUUAGAGAGGCCUUCCUGGACCUCUAGGUCUCUGGCCCUAGUACUCUAUCCCCUCUCCCUGCUUUCCUCUUCUACUUCACUGCUCCUUAACAUUGUGUUAUACAUUGUCUGUCUCCCCAACUGGAAUGUAAGUGGCACCAGGGCAGGGACUUGGGUUGUUUUGUUCCUUGCUGUAAGCCCAGGGCCCAGGGCCAGACCUGGAACAAUUAGGUGCUAAGUUAUUUGCUGAAUAUUCUAUGAAGGAAUGACAAAGGAAUGCAUAAAGAACUUCAAAGUUCAACUCCUCGAACUUCAAACUUCAAAUCCCCAACUCCUCCUGCCUAUGCUGGACGAUUAGGGCAGUAACAGGAGUCAACUUGUGCUGUGCUGUCACCUUGCCUGGAUCCGCAUCAGCCCUGCAGCUCCCACUUUGGAGGAGACUUGCCCAGGGACCUACAGCUCUGAAGCUUCUCUGACAGCCUCUGCAGCUCUUGGAACUUAUCUGGGCUGCUGCUGUGCAGACCAUGGAUGCAUAGCUGAGUUCCUGCCCCUGAUUUCCUAGAGUCUCAGAAAGACAGGGAAGUGACUUACCCAAAGUCCCCUUUCACCCUAUAAACAGUUCAGCCCAGGGAGUGAGGCUGACACGCAAAUGCAGCUAUGUAUAGACUCAGAGUCAUCCAAGGUCAGGGCUGGGUGGAGCCUUGGUCACAUGCAGGCCAACCUGUGUCUGGAGAUAAUGCAAGCCAGUGCAGGGGUUAGCGUGUACAUGGACUCUGGAGUCUGGCAGAUCUAAGCCCCACCCACCAACCUGUGACCUUGGAGAAUUAUUUGAAAAGACAUUAUUUGAAAAGCAGAUGUAAAAUGGAAAUAAAAGUUCCUAUUUAAAACAGUCAGUUGUCCCCCAUUCAGAAGCCUAUUACAGUUGUCCCUUAGCAUCUUCGAGGAAUUGGUUCCAGGACAGCUCCUCAGAUACCAAAAGCCACGAUGCUCAAAUUCCUUAUAAAAAGUGACGUAGGGCUGGGUACAAUGGCUCGUGCCUGUAAUCCCAGCACUUUGGGAGACCGAGGUGGGCAGCUCACUUGAGGUCAGGAGUUCAAGACCAGCCUCGCCAACAUGGUGAAACCCCGUCUCCUCUAAAAAUACAAAAAAUAGGCGGGCUUGGUGGCAUGCACUUGUAGUCCCAGCCACUCGGGAGGCUGAGGCAUGAGAAUUGCAUGGAUCCGGGAGGCGGAGGUUGCAGUGAGCCAAGAUCGUGCCACCGCACUCCAGCCUGGGUGACAGAGCGAGAAUCCGUCUCAAAAAAAGAAAAAGAAAAGAAAAGAGGUUUGGCUCACAGUUCUGUAGACUGUACAAGUGUGGCACCAGCAUCUGCUUGGCUUCUGGUCAGGCCUCAGGAUGCUCACAAUCAUGGUGAAAGGUAAAGGGGGAGCUGGCAUGUCACAUGGCACAAGAAGGAGCAAGAAAGGGGAGGAGGUGCCAAGCCUCCUUUAAACAACCAGCUCUCGCCUGAACAGAGUAAGAACUCACUCAUUACCUCGGGGAGGGCACCAAACCAUUCAUGAGGGAUCCAGCCCCAUGACCCAAACACCUCCCACCAGGCCCCACCUCCAAUGCUGGCGAUCACAUUUCAACAUGAGAUUUGGAAGAGACAUGCAUCCAAACCAUAUCAAGCAGUGUCCCUGUCAAAAGCACACCCUGUGCACAGGCUGGAUCAUGGGUAGUUGGCAGGGACAGGAGGCAGGGUGAAGCUGGAGAAGCAGUGUAGGUGACCCUUGCAUGACACUCCCAGCCACAAGAGGAGUUCGAGCCUUAACCCUGGAGAACUGGAGCACCACACAAGGGUCUUAGGCAGAGGAUUAAUGCAUUUAGAUGUGUACUUUUAAAAGAUUAUCUAUGUAGGCUGAGUAAUGGCCCUGCCAAAGAUGUCUAUGUGUGAAUCCCUGGAGGUUGUGUGUAUGUUCCCCUAUAUGGCAUAAGGGACAUUGCAAAUGUGAUCGAGUUAAGGGUCCUGAGAACCGGAGAUUAUCCAGGUGGGCCCAACAUAAUCACAAGUGUCCUUAUAAGAGGGAGGCAGGGGGAGAUCUGACUUCAGAUGAGGAGCCUCAGAAUGAUGUGGCACGAGAAAGACUUGGCUUCGAAGAGGAGGAAGGGGCCCUGAGCCAGGGAAUGCAGUGGCCUCUAGAAGCUGGAAAAAGCAACAAAACGAUUCUCCUCUAGAGCCUCCAGAAGGAACGCAGCCCUGCCAAAGCCUUAAUUUCAGGACUUCUAAAAGAGUAAAUUUGUGUUGUUUUAAGGCACUGAUUUUGUGGUAAUUUGUUACAGCAGCAAUAGGAGAAUAGGACAUACUAGCUCCUGUAAAAAACCAGACUGGACGUAAGGGCGAGGCGAGGCAGGGACCAGCUAGAGGUCACUGCUGUGGUCCAGGCAAGAGGUGUGAGAGCUUGCACCACAGUGGUGGCCGUGGGGAUGGAGAGGAGUGGUGCAGUUGAAGGACCCCAGCAGGGGAAGAGCUGACCAGUCAAAGGUCUCGCUGCAAUCUGGCAGAUGUUACUGGAAUGCCACAACAGGCCUCUUUCAGGCUCAGGCCCUGGCUGGCUCACCCUGGCUACAGCCCAGCAGCUUUACAGAAGGAGGAAGCUCACACCAGGGCUGUAGACCACUCCCAGGCAGAUGCACCAUUUACUCACUUAACCUGCCAACCCCAUUCCCACAAAAAAGUUCAAGAGUCUCCAGGAACAAGCCCUAAGAAAGAACACGUGGGGAAUUUUUACUAGGCAAAAGGUAGCAAUUAUUUCUGCCAAGCAUUAAGCCUUGCAGCGAACUUUUUUUUUUUUUUUCCGUGAACAGAGAUUUUGUAAUUCUGGAAGAGAGGUGUCCAGAUUUAAAUAUACACAUCUCCAACACAGGUGAUACAGAACCAUGAUUAAAUCUAACAUCUAAAAACUUCAUGGUCAGCAGAAAAUGCAGAAAUUAAAGAAAGACUAAACAAGAAACUAGGAGACUCAGCGUCUACUCUAUUCUUGCUUAAUAAUCCAGACCUACUUAAAAAAUGGGAUCCUAAUUUGGUCCUGUUUAAUGGAGCUGUCAAGAAGAAAAAGCAAUAAAAAUUAUUCGAGAGAAUUUUAGAAACAUUCUCCCAUUCUACUCCAAAAAUAUAAAUAUGCACACUCCAAAACCAAGUACCUUGGACUGUACUGAGAGAUGACAAUGACGUCUUAACCGUACUAUUUCCCCAUGAUGUUGCAGCAGGCCACAGGGACCUAACUGAAUUGUAAGAACAUGAAAGGACCCAGGAAUGCCUGCAGAUGACAAAAUACCAGGUAGUCCUGUCAGUGUAGGAGCAUGUUAAUUUAAAAAUAGAUAUAUUUUUCUGGUGACAAAAGUGACAUGUCUAUUACUGGAAAACACAAACAACUCCUGUAGUCCAAUGAUCCAGAGAUAACCCAUUUGGAAAUAUUUUCUUCCAGUCUUUUUUCCCCAUUGAUUUCGGCACAGGCGCGCGCACACACACACACACACACACACACACACUCAUACUUCAUUUUUAACAAAAUUACAAUACUGUAUAUACUUUUAUAACCAGUUUUAUAUAACAGUAUAUAAUCCUCCAUGUAUUAAAUACAGUUUUUCAUAAUGCUAGUAUUCCAUCAUAUGAAAGUAGGAAAAUCACUUAACCAAUCCCUAAUUGCUGAACAACUGAGUAGUUUCUAACUUUAUGGUAACAUAAGUCAUUGGGAGGAACCUCCUCAUCUACGGGAAUAUCCCUAGAUAUAAAUCUAUGUCUAUAGCUCUGAUUAUUUCCUUAGGGUCCUAUUUCCUACAUCCAUGCAUUGCCAUUACUAUUUUGCUAUAAUUAAUUACCAUCUGUAAUGUACUUAACAUUUCUCUUUACAUCAACUCAUUUCUGUCCUUAAACAAAUGUAUUUUAAAAGCAAACCUGACUCGGUGUAGUGGCUCACACCUGUAAUCCUAGCACUUUGGGAAAACAAGGCAGGCGGAUUGCCUGAGCUCAAGAGUUCAAGACCAGCCUGGGCAACAUGGCGAAACCCCGUCUGUACUAAAAAUACAAAAAAUCAGCCGGGUGUGGUGGUGCGUGCCUGUAGUCCCAGCUACUCAAGAGGCUGAGGCACAAGAAUCGCUUGAACCUAUGAAGCAGAAGUUGCAGUGAGCCAAGAUCAUGCCACUGCACUCUAGCCUGGACAACAGGACAAGACUCUGUCUCAAAAAACAAACAAACAAACAAACAAACCUUAUUUAAGUGGAAAACCAACAUCAUAUGCCAUAAAUGAAGGCAAUCAUAAUAGGUUUUAUUGGAAUAAAAAAACACUGUGGUUAAAAUAUAGUCAAAAUACUGCUACCCCUUUGCCCAUUCUUUUAUAUAAAAUGGGAGAUUAGAGAGGCUUAGAGAGGUGUUAAAGGUAUGCUAGCACCAAGCUAAAGUUUUUCACCUUCCGUUGAUCAGAAGACUGAAAAGGAAUUGAGCAUGGGAAUAACUUUCUCACUGUGAGUCAGUGUUAGACAAUGUGGCAAAUGUGUCCCAACUAGAAUUACCCUGCGCCACCUGAAAUAACCUCAUAUGAAAACAUGCCUUAGGACAUAUUCCUGGAAGUAGAACUGGGAUAAAAGGCAUGGACACUUUAAGCAGCUUCUGAUAACCACAGCCCAAACACCAUCCAAGUUAGUUUUACCACAGUUUUACUAUGACUGUGUCCAUUUUACUUCACGUUCACAAAUAUUAAGUACUAUAAACAAAAUAUUAAAAUAGUUAAAACGUUUCAGCUUUUUGAUGUAAAAUAUCCAGCAGCUGAAUCUUCAAAGGCUAUUUUCAUGCUCUUCUAGCUAGUCCCUGACCCUAGGGCAGGGCUAUUUUAUGAACCUUUAAUUAGUGGUAAGCUUACAACAAACUGAUACUGC